GACGAACGCUGGCGGCGUGCCUAACACAUGCAAGUCGAGCGAGGAGAGUUCCUUGGGAAUAACCUAGCGGCGGACGGGUGAGUAACACUGGGCAACCUGCCUUGUAGAGGGAAUAGCCUUCCGAAAGGAAGAUUAAUACCGCAUAACAUUACAGUUUCGCAUGAAACAGUAAUUAAAGGAGCAAUCCGCUACAAGAUGGGCCCGCGGCGCAUUAGCUAGUUGGUGAGGUAACGGCUCACCAAGGCGACGAUGCGUAGCCGACCUGAGAGGGUGAUCGGCCACAUUGGGACUGAGACACGGCCCAGACUCCUACGGGAGGCAGCAGUGGGGAAUAUUGCACAAUGGGGGAAACCCUGAUGCAGCAACGCCGCGUGAGUGAUGAAGGUUUUCGGAUCGUAAAGCUCUGUCUUCGGGGACGAUAAUGACGGUACCCGAGGAGGAAGCCACGGCUAACUACGUG
This 460-nucleotide ribosomal RNA is filed under the name uncultured bacterium. Its description in RNAcentral is "bacterial SSU rRNA". It matches the Rfam family "Bacterial small subunit ribosomal RNA", at positions 28 to 507 of the family's 1533-position model. The record is from RNAcentral.